Cygnus olor (mute swan) is the source of this 841-nucleotide long non-coding RNA. RefSeq lists it as uncharacterized. The transcript has 3 exons. NCBI's taxonomy places the organism in Eukaryota, Metazoa, Chordata, Aves, Anseriformes, Anatidae. The record is from RefSeq and is a predicted model, not a curated record.
GAUAUGUAUCCUGCCCUUAUGGGAUCAAAUUAUCCACAAGAGGGGGGUCUUUAGAGUUUCAUUUUACACAUAGUAAAGAUGUAGAAUACACAUAUUCAGGUAUGGGUUGAAUUUGGAGCAAAGAAACUGCAAAACAUCCUUGGUGACAAGAUACCAAGGAAAUUAGAUUCUGUGUGUCUGACAAGUAGGAAGUUCUUGUCUGCACAUUACAGCAUGGCAAAGAAAGUCAGAGAGGUAAGUCAUUUGUCAAGGACGCACCAGGAGACAGUGAGAUAGCUGGGAAGAGCUAUUUUCUGCUGCUGAGCCUCUGUGCUUUAACCCCAGGAUCGUACAAAUGAACGCAGGCAGAAACCUGACCUGAAAAUAGCAGAUUUUCAGUUAAGAUCACUAAUGAGGAUUUUAAUUAGUUGAGUAAGCCAGUGUCAAUACAACCAGUAAACCGAACUCCAUGACCUAGCAGCCUACUUCUUCCUGAAGGAAGCUGUAUUCUAGACGAGUGUGAAUCAGGCCUUUUAGCUAUUUUUUACCAUUUAUUAGCACAAGUCUUGCUUCAUUAACUUUUUUUUUUUUUUUUUAAUUCAUUUAAGUAGCAUUGUUCUAUUUGGGGUGUAGAUCCAUUCUGAAUGUGCUCACCUGGAUGAGGGCGGCCAGCGAUUUCCAUCAAGGGCCACGUGGCUCACUCCUGGGACCUUGCUAGCCCAGUGUCAUCUUCUCACAUGGUGGCUGGGCUUUCCCUGCCCACCUCUCUCCAGUCUGCCGGCUUGAACUGCAGUUAACCCCCCUCUGCUGCAAGGGGAACAUGCAGCACUCUGCCAGUGCUGGUGCCAGUGCUCCUCCACAG